This 471-nucleotide ribosomal RNA is filed under the name Triticum aestivum (bread wheat). RNAcentral describes it as "partial small subunit ribosomal RNA". Lineage: Eukaryota; Viridiplantae; Streptophyta; Magnoliopsida; Poales; Poaceae. The record is from RNAcentral.
AUGGGUAUUCGGAGUGCUAAGAUCAAGGUUUCCCUGAGCUCCAUGGAUAUAAGCUUGCCCUCAUACCAUUUGUUGAUCUGGAAAUGGAUUGUAGGUUUCUGUCUUCCAGUACCGAUGUUCUUUCUUCCCUUCAUUAGCUGGAAUUGGCAUAGUUUCUUCAAACAUACGCAGCUUACUGAUAAGCAAAAAAAUUAUUGCCAGACAAUGGAGGUGAUGGAUGUAUUGAUGAUGGAUUUAGUGGUAGUAAUACAACUUCUGGCUUUUCUGCUGUUCAAGAUGGAGGACGCGAGCGUGGGCAUGUGGGUGGGGCAGUUCAACGACGGCGACACAGGAAAGGCCGCCGUGCAGUACGUAUAUGGGACGCGGUUCCGCCAGGCCGACUGUGCCGCCGACUACCUCGCCGCCCGCUACAAGUCAUCAGGGCAGAUGUUGUGCUCCGGGAGAAGCUGGCUGCAAUGUCAAAUGACAUGA